AGCGAACGCUAGCGGCGGGCCUAACACAUGCAAGUCGAGCGUAUACCUUCGGGUAUGAGCGGCGGACGGGUGAGUAACGCGUAGGUCAUCUACCCUUUGGUGGGGAGUAACCCACGGGAAACGUUAGGGCGUAAUAACCGCACGAGGUCUACGGAUCAAAGCCUUCGGGCGCCAGAGGAUGAGCCUGCGUCGCAUUACCUAGUUGGCGGGGUAACGGCCCACCAAGGGGACGAUGCGUAGCUGGUCUGAGAGGAUGAUCAGCCACACUGGGACUGAGACACGGCCCAGACUCCCACGGGAGGCAGCAGUGGGGAAUAUUGCGCAAUGGGGGAAACCCUGACGCAGCCACGCCGCGUGGGUGAUGAAGGCCUUCGGGUUGUAAAGCCCUGUCGGGAGGGACGAAUUCUUGUACGGUACCUCCAAAGAAAGCACCGGCUAACUCCGUGCCAGCAGCCG
RNAcentral lists this ribosomal RNA (456 nucleotides) under uncultured bacterium. Its description in RNAcentral is "bacterial SSU rRNA". It matches the Rfam family "Bacterial small subunit ribosomal RNA", at positions 29 to 517 of the family's 1533-position model. The record is from RNAcentral.